AUACGUAGGGUGCGAGCGUUGUCCGGAAUUACUGGGCGUAAAGAGCUCGUAGGUGGUUUGUCGCGUCGUCUGUGAAAUUCCGGGGCUUAACUCCGGGCGUGCAGGCGAUACGGGCAUAACUUGAGUACUGUAGGGGAGACUGGAAUUCCUGGUGUAGCGGUGAAAUGCGCAGAUAUCAGGAGGAACACCGGUGGCGAAGGCGGUUCUCUGGGCAGUAACUGACGCUGAGGAGCGAAAGCAUGGGUAGCGAACAGGAUUAGAUACCCUGGUAGGCCAUGCCGUAAACGGUGGGCGCUAGGUGUAGGGGUCUUCCACGACUUCUGUGCCGUAGCUAACGCAUUAAGCGCCCCGCCUGGGGAGUACGGCCGCAAGGCUAAAACUCAAAUGAAUUGACGGGG
RNAcentral lists this ribosomal RNA (398 nucleotides) under uncultured bacterium. RNAcentral's name for it is "partial 16S ribosomal RNA". It matches the Rfam family "Bacterial small subunit ribosomal RNA", at positions 523 to 918 of the family's 1533-position model. The record is from RNAcentral.